AACGAACGCUGGCGGCAUGCCUAACACAUGCAAGUCGAACGAGACCUUCGGGUCUAGUGGCGCACGGGUGCGUAACGCGUGGGAACCUGCCCUUAGGUUCGGAAUAACUCCCCGAAAGGGGUGCUAAUACCGGAUAAUGUCUUCGGACCAAAGAUUUAUCGCCUUUGGAUGGGCCCGCGUUGGAUUAGCUAGUUGGUAGGGUAAAAGCCUACCAAGGCGACGAUCCAUAGCUGGUCUGAGAGGAUGAUCAGCCACACUGGGACUGAGACACGGCCCAGACUCCUACGGGAGGCAGCAGUGGGGAAUAUUGGACAAUGGGCGAAAGCCUGAUACAGCAAUGCCGCGUGAGUGAUGAAGGCCUUAGGGUUGUAAAGCUCUUUUACCCGGGGUGAUAAUGACAGUACCGGGAGAAUAAGCUCCGGCUAACUCCGUG
This 433-nucleotide ribosomal RNA is filed under the name uncultured bacterium. RNAcentral describes it as "partial 16S ribosomal RNA". It matches the Rfam family "Bacterial small subunit ribosomal RNA", at positions 29 to 507 of the family's 1533-position model. The record is from RNAcentral.